Molecule: ribosomal RNA, 658 nt
Filed under: uncultured Gammaproteobacteria bacterium
Lineage: Bacteria; Pseudomonadati; Pseudomonadota; Gammaproteobacteria
Description: bacterial SSU rRNA
Rfam family: Bacterial small subunit ribosomal RNA
Source: RNAcentral
AAUACGCUGGCGGCAGGCUAACACUGCAGCUGUAACGGUACAGGAUGUGCUUGCACAUCGCUGACGAGUGGCGGACGGGUGAGUAAUGCUUAGGGAUCUGCCUCUGUGUGGGGGAUAACUAUUGGAAACGAUAGCUAAUACCGCAUAAUGUUUACGGACCAAAGGGGGCGUUUGCUCCCGCGCAGAGAGGAACCUAAGUGAGAUUAGCUAGUUGGUAAGGUAAUGGCUUACCAAGGCGACAAUCUCUAGCUGUUCUGAGAGGAAGAUCAGCCACACUGGGACUGAGACACGGCCCAGACUCCUACGGGAGGCAGCAGUGGGGAAUAUUGCACAAUGGGGGGAACCCUGAUGCAGCCAUGCCGCGUGUGUGAAGAAGGCCUUCGGGUUGUAAAGCACUUUCAGUUGUGAGGAAAGGUUAGUAGUUAAUACCUGCUAGCUGUGACGUUAGCAACAGAAGAAGCACCUGGCUAACUCCGUGCCAGCAGCCGCGGUAAUACGGAGGGUGCGAGCGUUAAUCGGAAUUACUGGGCGUAAAGCGCACGCAAGGCGGUUCUGUAUAACGCUAGAUGUGAAAGCCCCGAGCUCAACUUGGGAUGGUCAUUUAACGAACUGGCAGACCUAAAGUCUUGGACAGGGGAGUGGAAAUUCUAGUGUAGCG